This 432-nucleotide ribosomal RNA is filed under the name uncultured bacterium. RNAcentral's name for it is "partial 16S ribosomal RNA". It matches the Rfam family "Bacterial small subunit ribosomal RNA", at positions 29 to 507 of the family's 1533-position model. The record is from RNAcentral.
GCGAACGCUGGCGGCAGGCCUCACACCUGCAAGUCGAACGAACUCUUCGGAGUUAGUGGCGGACGGGUGAGUAACACGUGGGAACGUGCCUUUUGGUUCGGAAUAACUCAGGGAAACUUGUGCUAAUACCGAAUGUGCCCUUCGGGGGAAAGAUUUAUCGCCAUUAGAGCGGCCCGCGUCUGAUUAGCUAGUUGGUGAGGUAACGGCGCACCAAGGCGACGAUCAGUAGCUGGUCUGAGAGGAUGACCAGCCACACUGGGACUGAGACACGGCCCAGACUCCUACGGGAGGCAGCAGUGGGGAAUCUUGCGCAAUGGGCGAAAGCCUGACGCAGCCAUGCCGCGUGAAUGAUGAAGGUCUUAGGAUUGUAAAAUUCUUUCACCGGGGACGAUAAUGACGGUACCCGGAGAAGAAGCCCCGGCUAACUUCGUG